RNAcentral lists this unclassified non-coding RNA (249 nucleotides) under Hevea brasiliensis (rubber tree). Lineage: Eukaryota; Viridiplantae; Streptophyta; Magnoliopsida; Malpighiales; Euphorbiaceae. The record is from RNAcentral.
AGUAACCCUGCUAAUCAUGUGGAUGUACUAAUUCCUGAAGUCAUUCAAUCUACUGAAAAGGUGCUCGUACUUGAGUAUAUGGACGGUGUUCGUUUGAAUGAUGCCGAAUCACUUCAAGCCUUGGGAGUAGAUAAGCAAAAACUUGUCGAAGAAAUUACACGUGCAUAUGCACACCAAAUUUAUGUUGAUGGAUUUUUUAAUGGAGACCCUCAUCCAGGAAAUUUUCUGGUGAGCAAGGAACCACCACAU